UGGGGAAUAUUGCACAAUGGGCGGAAGCCUGAUGCAGCAACGCCGCGCGCGGGAUGACGGCCUUCGGGUUGUAAACCGCUUUCGCCUGUGACGAAGCGUGAGUGACGGUAAUGGGUAAAGAAGCACCGGCUAACUACGUGCCAGCAGCCGCGGUGAUACGUAGGGUGCGAGCGUUGUCCGGAUUUAUUGGGCGUAAAGGGCUCGUAGGUGGUUGAUCGCGUCGGAAGUGUAAUCUUGGGGCUUAACCCUGAGCGUGCUUUCGAUACGGGUUGACUUGAGGAAGGUAGGGGAGAAUGGAAUUCCUGGUGGAGCGGUGGAAUGCGCAGAUAUCAGGAGGAACACCAGUGGCGAAGGCGGUUCUCUGGGCCUUUCCUGACGCUGAGGAGCGAAAGCGUGGGGAGCGAACAGGCUUAGAUACCCUGGUAGUCCACGCUGUAAACGGUGGGUACUAGGUGUGGGGUCCAUUCCACGGGUUCCGUGCCGUAGCUAACGCUUUAAGUACCCCGCCUGGGGAGUACGGCCGCAAGGCUA
RNAcentral lists this ribosomal RNA (531 nucleotides) under uncultured bacterium. Its description in RNAcentral is "bacterial SSU rRNA". It matches the Rfam family "Bacterial small subunit ribosomal RNA", at positions 355 to 896 of the family's 1533-position model. The record is from RNAcentral.